RNAcentral lists this ribosomal RNA (253 nucleotides) under uncultured bacterium. RNAcentral's name for it is "partial 16S ribosomal RNA". It matches the Rfam family "Bacterial small subunit ribosomal RNA", at positions 524 to 776 of the family's 1533-position model. The record is from RNAcentral.
UACAGAGGUCCCAAGCGUUGUUCGGAUUCACUGGGCGUACAGGGUGCGUAGGUGGCGGGGUAAGUUUGAUGUGAAAUCUCCGAGCUCAACUCGGAAAUGGCAUUGAAUACUACUCUGCUCGAGGUUUGGAGGGGGGACUGGAAUUCUCGGUGUAGCAGUGAAAUGCGUAGAUAUCGAGAGGAACACCAGUGGCGAAGGCGAGUCCCUGGACAACACCUGACACUGAGGCACGAAAGCUAGGGGAGCAAACAGG